AAUAAUAAUAAUAAUAAUAAUUUACCAACACAGAGAAAUAGAUAUAUUUAACGUAGCUCGGUAUUAGUUCGGUUGCUGUGAAAAGGGGUGUUGAGUUUGCAAUGAUGGUUAAUAACAACAAGGAGAAGGAGAGGGACCUUGAGAUUAUGUUUGAUCCGAACGAUGAGGAUGGCAGCCAAUGUGAACAAGAGGAUAUUGAAGCUGUGAAGUACGAGAGUGAUAGUAGCAGUAAAGGUGACAGUGAUGAUGAGGGGAAUGAUGUAGCACACCCCCACUCUUUCACUUCUCAGCAAUGGCCUCAGAGUUACAAAGAGACUACAGAUUCAUAUACGAUUGCCGCAGCUCCAAAUUUUGAAUCAAUCAUUCGAGGACCGAGUUUUAUAUAUUCUAGUUUUGGGAAUCGUUCGAAGAGUAGCUUAGACAUAGAUGGAAAGACUCCUUUUCUAUCUGCUCCAGAAGGCAUUAGUCAAUCAACUUGGUGGGAGAAAGCCUCAGUGCAAAGACAUUUUACUGGAGAGUUGCCCAUUGGAUAUGGAUGCAGCUUCACUCAAACAAUUUUUAAUGGGAUUAAUGUGAUGGCUGGAGUUGGCCUUCUAUCUACCCCGUAUACAGUGAAUCAAGCUGGGUGGAUGAGCAUGGCAGUAAUGCUUCUUUUUGCUGUUAUUUGUUGCUAUACAGCUACCCUUCUGAGAUACUGCUUUGAAAGCAGAGAAGGAAUCAUUACCUACCCAGAUAUAGGAGAAGCUGCAUUUGGAAGAUAUGGCCGUAUUGUUGUAUCAAUCAUUCUGUACACUGAAUUAUAUUCAUAUUGCGUUGAAUUCAUCACGUUGGAAGGAGAUAACCUCACUAGCCUGUUUCCUGGAACAUCCUUAGAUCUGGGUAGUUUGCAGUUAGACUCUGUGCACUUGUUUGGGGUUUUGACUGCACUUAUUAUUCUCCCUACAGUUUGGUUGAAGGAUCUUCGUUUAAUCUCUUAUCUAUCAGCUGGAGGAGUUGUUGCAACACUUUUGAUUGUUAUCUGUGUGUUUUCUGUUGGUACAAUAGAUGGUGUUGGAUUCCAUCACACUGGUCAAUUGAUAAAAUGGAAUGGUAUUCCAUUUGCUAUUGGUGUCUAUGGAUUUUGCUUUGCAGGUCAUUCAGUUUUUCCAAAUAUUUACCAGUCUAUGGCUGACAAAAAACAAUUUACCAAAGCAGUAAUAACAUGUUUUGUUUUGUGUGUUUUGAUAUAUGGAGGCGUUGCAGUCAUGGGAUUUCUCAUGUUUGGUGAUGGCACAUUGUCUCAGAUAACAUUGAAUAUGCCACCAGGUUCAUUUGCUUCCAAAGUUGCAUUGUGGACAACAGUCAUUAACCCAUUCACUAAAUAUCCUUUUUUCCAAAACUAUGUUUAUGAAAGUAUAGAAUAUGGUCAUGGUUUGACCAAAUUCAGGAGUCCUUUUGUUUGCCUUUUCCUUAAUAAUGAACAAAUAUGCUUUGUUGAUGAACCCACUGGCAAGGAGUCUAGAGGAGUUGCUGCCGGAUAGAAUUUCAAGUACUUAUUGGUGUUUCAUUCUUCUUAGAACAGCACUUGUUGCAUCUACAGUUUGUGUUGCCUUUUUGGUUCCCUUUUUUGGGCUUGUUAUGGCAUUAAUUGGUUCACUCUUUAGUAUACUUGUGUCAGCGAUAAUGCCAAGUUUAUGUUUUUUGAAAAUUAUUGGAAAAAAUGCUACAAAGACACAGGUUGCACUUAGCGUCACAAUUGCUACAUUGGGAAUCAUUUGUGGACUCGUUGGAACAUAUUCCUCUCUCUUGAGUAUUGCGGAUAGUUACUGAGACCUUUAGUCUUUUACUGGAUGGUGGUGUUGAGUGUUAACCCCGCGACAAAUGGUUCUGUUUGGCGUUAAUGUGGCGACUAGUUUACUUUUGGUUAUUAUAUGUGUGAAUUUAUGCAUAUGUAUGAAUUUAAUAAAGCAAUUAUUAAAAAAGAUGAUAUUUUAUGAGGAACGAAGAUAUUUAGUGG
Abrus precatorius (Indian licorice) is the source of this 1996-nucleotide RNA transcript. It is a transcript of the gene named amino acid transporter AVT1A, with no coding region annotated. The transcript is spliced from 11 exons. The record is from RefSeq and is a predicted model, not a curated record. Lineage: Eukaryota; Viridiplantae; Streptophyta; Magnoliopsida; Fabales; Fabaceae.